UCGGUCCCUAUCCGUCGCGGGCGUAGGAAAUUUGAGAGGAUCUGUCCUUAGUACGAGAGGACCGGGAUGGACAUACCGCUGGUGUACCAGUUGUUCCGCCAGGAGCAUCGCUGGGUAGCUAAGUAUGGAUGAGAUAAACGCUGAAAGCAUCUAAGUGCGAAACUCACCUCGAGAUAAGAUUUCCCAUUACGUAAGUAAGUAAGAUCCCUGAAAGAUGAUCAGGUAGAUAGGAUGGAAGUGGAAGUGCUGCGAGGCAUGGAGCGGACCAUUACUAAUCGAUCGAGGACUUAACCAAG
RNAcentral lists this ribosomal RNA (296 nucleotides) under Ligilactobacillus salivarius. Its description in RNAcentral is "Lactobacillus salivarius partial 23S ribosomal RNA". It matches the Rfam family "Bacterial large subunit ribosomal RNA", at positions 2631 to 2925 of the family's 2925-position model. The record is from RNAcentral. Lineage: Bacteria; Bacillati; Bacillota; Bacilli; Lactobacillales; Lactobacillaceae.